This 489-nucleotide ribosomal RNA is filed under the name uncultured bacterium. RNAcentral's name for it is "partial 16S ribosomal RNA". It matches the Rfam family "Bacterial small subunit ribosomal RNA", at positions 29 to 507 of the family's 1533-position model. The record is from RNAcentral.
AGUGAACGCUGGUGGUAGGCCUAACACAUGCAAGUCGAACGGCAGCACAGGAGAGCUUGCUCUCUAGGUGGCGAGUGGCGGACGGGUGAGGAAUACAUCGGAAUCUGCCCAGUCGUGGGGGAUAACGUAGGGAAACUUACGCUAAUACCGCAUACGACCUUCGGGUGAAAGAGGGGGAUCGCAAGACCUCUCGCGAUUGGAUGAGCCGAUGUCGGAUUAGCUAGUUAGCGGGGUAAUGGCCACCAAGGCGACGAUCCGUAGCUGGUCUGAGAGGAUGAUCAGCCACACUGGAACUGAGACACGGUCCAGACUCCUACGGGAGGCAGCAGUGGGGAAUAUUGGACAAUGGGCGCAAGCCUGAUCCAGCCAUGCCGCGUGGGUGAAGAAGGCCUUCGGGUUGUAAAGCCCUUUUGUUGGGAAAGAAAUCUUUCAGGCUAAUACCCUGGGAGGAUGACGGUACCCAAAGAAUAAGCACCGGCUAACUUCGUG